RNAcentral lists this ribosomal RNA (305 nucleotides) under uncultured bacterium. Its description in RNAcentral is "partial 16S ribosomal RNA". It matches the Rfam family "Bacterial small subunit ribosomal RNA", at positions 335 to 658 of the family's 1533-position model. The record is from RNAcentral.
AUCCUACGGGGGGCAGCAGUGGGGGAUAUUGCACAAUGGGGGGAACCCUGAUGCAGCGACGCCGCGUGGGUGAAGAAGCGUUUCGGCGCGUAAAGCCCUGUCAGCAGGGAAGAAGAUGACGGUACCUGACCAAGAAGCCCCGGCUAACUACGUGCCAGCAGCCGCGGUAAUACGUAGGGGGCAAGCGUUAUCCGGAUUUACUGGGUGUAAAGGGGGCGCAGACGGCGAUGCAAGCCAGGAGUGAAAGCCCGGGGCCAAACCCCGGGACUGCUCUUGGAACUGCGUGGCUGGAGUGCAGGAGGGGG